RNAcentral lists this ribosomal RNA (158 nucleotides) under Erythranthe guttata (spotted monkey flower). RNAcentral's name for it is "Mimulus guttatus (spotted monkey flower) 5.8S ribosomal RNA". It matches the Rfam family "5.8S ribosomal RNA". Rfam says of the family: 5.8S ribosomal RNA (5.8S rRNA) is a component of the large subunit of the eukaryotic ribosome. Lineage: Eukaryota; Viridiplantae; Streptophyta; Magnoliopsida; Lamiales; Phrymaceae. The record is from Rfam by way of RNAcentral.
GACUCUUGGCAAUGGAUAUCUUGGCUCUCGCACCGAUGAAGAACAUAAGAAAAUACGAUACUUUGUGUGAAUUAUAGAAUCACGUGAACCCAUCGAGGCUUUUAAAUUCAAGUUACUCCCAAAGUCACUAGGCCGGUGACAUGCCUGCUUGGGUUGCG